GAAUCAAAACUCACGGAAACUAUGCCACAGUUAGCUUUAUCUGCCUUGCCGCAGCUGCUAAUUGCCAGCCAUUCCAACUAGGUUGGAAUGCUUGUUUCCCAGAUCAAGGUGGACUGAUAGGAAGUUCGUGGGCCGUGUGCCUGGACUCUCGGAUUUGAGAGUCGGCGGCGAUGGCCCAGGAAUGUCGAAGAAAGGCUACAUUU
This is a small nucleolar RNA of 203 nucleotides. It matches the Rfam family "Small nucleolar RNA snR34". The record is from Rfam.